This 274-nucleotide unclassified non-coding RNA is filed under the name Hevea brasiliensis (rubber tree). Lineage: Eukaryota; Viridiplantae; Streptophyta; Magnoliopsida; Malpighiales; Euphorbiaceae. The record is from RNAcentral.
AAGUUAUCGGUGGAUAGCCCAGUCAGAGUAAAUUUAUGGUAUCAAUGGGUUAAAGAGAGAUAAGAGGUUGGAAAACCUAGUUUGUUGGGAUGUACUAUAGUGACCUAUGAAAUGUUCUUAAUGCCUGUUUUGUAAGCUGCAGAUUAUAGUAUCGAGAUGGGAUUAUUGUAUAGAGUUGCGUGCAUCCCCAUGGUGUUUUAUGAUGAGGGUGCUUGUAGACAGCCUCUAUUUUAGUAUAGUUAUGCUAGGACAAAGUUCUAUAUCUAUAGAGGAG